GAUGAACGCUGGCGGCGUGCCUAAUACAUGCAAGUCGAGCGAACGGACGAGAAGCUUGCUUCUCUGAUGUUAGCGGCGGACGGGUAAGUAACACGUGGAUAACCUACCUAUAAGACUGGGAUAACUUCGGGAAACCGGAGCUAAUACCGGAUAAUAUUUUGAACCGCAUGGUUCAAAAGUGAAAGACGGUCUUGCUGUCACUUAUAGAUGGAUCCGCGCUGCAUUAGCUAGUUGGUAAGGUAACGGCUUACCAAGGCAACGAUGCAUAGCCGACCUGAGAGGGUGAUCGGCCACACUGGAACUGAGACACGGUCCAGACUCCUACGGGAGGCAGCAGUAGGGAAUCUUCCGCAAUGGGCGAAAGCCUGACGGAGCAACGCCGCGUGAGUGAUGAAGGUCUUCGGAUUGUAAAACUCUGUUAUUAGGGAAGAACAUAUGUGUAAGUAACUGUGCACAUCUUGACGGUACCUAAUCAGAAAGCCACGGCUAACUACGUGCCAGCAGCCGCGGUAAUACGUAGGUGGCAAGCGUUAUCCGGAAUUAUUGGGCGUAAAGCGCGCGUAGGCGGUUUUUUAAGUCUGAUGUGAAAGCCCACGGCUCAACCGUGGAGGGUCAUUGGAAACUGGAAAACUUGAGUGCAGAAGAGGAAAGUGGAAUUCCAUGUGUAGCGGUGAAAUGCGCAGAGAUAUGGAGGAACACCAGUGGCGAAGGCGACUUUCUGGUCUGUAACUGACGCUGAUGUGCGAAAGCGUGGGGAUCAAACAGGAUUAGAUACCCUGGUAGUCCACGCCGUAAACGAUGAGUGCUAAGUGUUAGGGGGUUUCCGCCCCUUAGUGCCGCAGCUAACGCAUUAAGCACUCCGCCUGGGGAGUACGACCGCAAGGUUGAAACUCAAAGGAAUUGACGGGAACCCGCACAAGCGGUGGAGCAUGUGGUUUAAUUCGAAGCAACGCGAAGAACCUUACCAAAUCUUGACAUCCUUUGACAACUCUAGAGAUAGAGCUUUCCCCUUCGGGGGACAAAGUGACAGGUGGUGCAUGGUUGUCGUCAGCUCGUGUCGUGAGAUGUUGGGUUAAGUCCCGCAACGAGCGCAACCCUUAAGCUUAGUUGCCAUCAUUAAGUUGGGCACUCUAAGUUGACUGCCGGUGACAAACCGGAGGAAGGUGGGGAUGACGUCAAAUCAUCAUGCCCCUUAUGAUUUGGGCUACACACGUGCUACAAUGGACAAUACAAAGGGCAGCGAAACCGUGAGGUCAAGCAAAUCCCAUAAAGUUGUUCUCAGUUCGGAUUGUAGUCUGCAACUCGACUACAUGAAGCUGGAAUCGCUAGUAAUCGUAGAUCAGCAUGCUACGGUGAAUACGUUCCCGGGUCU
This 1372-nucleotide ribosomal RNA is filed under the name uncultured bacterium. RNAcentral describes it as "bacterial SSU rRNA". It matches the Rfam family "Bacterial small subunit ribosomal RNA", at positions 28 to 1381 of the family's 1533-position model. The record is from RNAcentral.